UGGGGGGGGCCUUAUACAUGCAAGUCGAGCGGACAGAAGGGAGCUUGCUCCCGGAUGUUAGCGGCGGACGGGUGAGUAACACGUGGGUAACCUGCCUGUAAGACUGGGAUAACUCCGGGAAACCGGAGCUAAUACCGGAUAGUUCCUUGAACCGCAUGGUUCAAGGAUGAAAGACGGUUUCGGCUGUCACUUACAGAUGGACCCGCGGCGCAUUAGCUAGUUGGUGAGGUAACGGCUCACCAAGGCGACGAUGCGUAGCCGACCUGAGAGGGUGAUCGGCCACACUGGGACUGAGACACGGCCCAGACUCCUACGGGAGGCAGCAGUAGGGAAUCUUCCGCAAUGGACGAAAGUCUGACGGAGCAACGCCGCGUGAGUGAUGAAGGUUUUCGGAUCGUAAAGCUCUGUUGUUAGGGAAGAACAAGUGCAAGAGUAACUGCUUGCACCUUGACGGUACCUAACCAGAAAGCCACGGCUAACUACGUGCCAGCAGCCGCGGUAAUACGUAGGUGGCAAGCGUUGUCCGGAAUUAUUGGGCGUAAAGGGCUCGCAGGCGGUUUCUUAAGUCUGAUGUGAAAGCCCCCGGCUCAACCGGGGAGGGUCAUUGGAAACUGGGAAACUUGAGUGCAGAAGAGGAGAGUGGAAUUCCACGUGUAGCGGUGAAAUGCGUAGAGAUGUGGAGGAACACCAGUGGCGAAGGCGACUCUCUGGUCUGUAACUGACGCUGAGGAGCGAAAGCGUGGGGAGCGAACAGGAUUAGAUACCCUGGUAGUCCACGCCGUAAACGAUGAGUGCUAAGUGUUAGGGGGUUUCCGCCCCUUAGUGCUGCAGCUAACGCAUUAAGCACUCCGCCUGGGGAGUACGGUCGCAAGACUGAAACUCAAAGGAAUUGACGGGGGCCCGCACAAGCGGUGGAGCAUGUGGUUUAAUUCGAAGCAACGCGAAGAACCUUACCAGGUCUUGACAUCCUCUGACAACCCUAGAGAUAGGGCUUUCCCUUUCGGGGACAGAGUGACAGGUGGUGCAUGGAUGUCGUCAGCUCGUGUCGUGAGAUGUGGGAUAGUCCCGCAACGAGCGCAACCCAUGAUCUAGUUGCCAGCAUUCAGUUGGCACUCUAGGUGAACUGCCGGUGACCAACCCGGAGGCAGGGUGGGGAAUGUAAACG
RNAcentral lists this ribosomal RNA (1165 nucleotides) under Bacillus pumilus. RNAcentral's name for it is "bacterial SSU rRNA". It matches the Rfam family "Bacterial small subunit ribosomal RNA", at positions 37 to 1191 of the family's 1533-position model. Lineage: Bacteria; Bacillati; Bacillota; Bacilli; Caryophanales; Bacillaceae. The record is from RNAcentral.